GAUGAACGCUGGCGGCGUGCCUAACACAUGCAAGUCGAACGGACAGACGGUGAGCUUGCUCUCUUCCCGUUAGCGGCUGGCGGGUGAGUAACACGUGCAUCACCUUCUUAUUUUUCUUGGUUAACUACGUAAGACCGGAUACAAUACUAGAUCAUAUGUUGAACCGCUUGGAUCAAUGGAUCUUGACGGCUUUGCCGUUUCUUUUAGAUGGUUUCGCGCCGGAUUAGCUAGUUGGUAAGGUAAAGGCCUACCAAGGCUACGAUGCGUAGCCGAUCUGAGAGGAUGAUCGGCCACACUGGAACUGAGACACGGUCCAGACUCCUACGGGAGGCAGCAGUGGGGAAUAUUGGGCAAUGGGCGAAAGCCUGAUGGAGCAACGCCGCGUGGGUGAUGAAGGUCUUCGGGUCGUAAAGCUCUGUUGUUGGGAAAGAAAAGAAGUGGGAGAAAAUAAGGAUGUGUUGACGGUACCUAAAGAAUAAGCAACGGCUAACUACGUG
RNAcentral lists this ribosomal RNA (497 nucleotides) under uncultured bacterium. RNAcentral's name for it is "partial 16S ribosomal RNA". It matches the Rfam family "Bacterial small subunit ribosomal RNA", at positions 28 to 507 of the family's 1533-position model. The record is from RNAcentral.